This 651-nucleotide ribosomal RNA is filed under the name uncultured Clostridium sp. RNAcentral describes it as "bacterial SSU rRNA". It matches the Rfam family "Bacterial small subunit ribosomal RNA", at positions 58 to 737 of the family's 1533-position model. Lineage: Bacteria; Bacillati; Bacillota; Clostridia; Eubacteriales; Clostridiaceae. The record is from RNAcentral.
CAAGUCGAGCGAUCUUCUUCGGAAGAGAGCGGCGGACGGGUGAGUAACGCGUGGGUAACCUGCCCUGUACACACGGAUAACAUACCGAAAGGUAUGCUAAUACGGGAUAACAUAAGAAAUUCGCAUGUCUUUCUUAUCAAAGCUCCGGCGGUACAGGAUGGACCCGCGUCUGAUUAGCUAGUUGGUGAGGUAACGGCUCACCAAGGCGACGAUCAGUAGCCGACCUGAGAGGGUGAUCGGCCACAUUGGAACUGAGACACGGUCCAAACUCCUACGGGAGGCAGCAGUGGGGAAUAUUGCACAAUGGGCGAAAGCCUGAUGCAGCAACGCCGCGUGAGCGAUGAAGGCCUUCGGGUCGUAAAGCUCUGUCCUCAAGGAAGAUAAUGGCGGUACUUGAGGAGGAAGCCCCGGCUAACUACGUGCCAGCAGCCGCGGUAAUACGUAGGGGGCUAGCGUUAUCCGGAUUUACUGGGCGUAAAGGGUGCGUAGGCGGUCUUUUAAGUCAGGAGUGAAAGGCUACGGCUCAACCGUAGUAAGCUCUUGAAACUGGAGGACUUGAGUGCAGGAGAGGAGAGUGGAAUUCCUAGUGUAGCGGUGAAAUGCGUAGAUAUUAGGAGGAACACCAGUAGCGAAGGCGGCUCUCUGGACUGU